This 403-nucleotide ribosomal RNA is filed under the name uncultured bacterium. RNAcentral's name for it is "bacterial SSU rRNA". It matches the Rfam family "Bacterial small subunit ribosomal RNA", at positions 102 to 507 of the family's 1533-position model. The record is from RNAcentral.
ACGGGUGAGUAACGCGUAUGUAACUUGCCUACAGAGGGGAUAGCCGNAAAGUCGGAUUAAUACCGCAUAAAACAGGGGUUCCGCAUGGAAAUAUUUGUUAAAGGAUUACCGCUGGUAGAUAGGCAUGCGUUCCAUUAGAUAGUUGGUGAGGUAACGGCUCACCAAGUCGACGAUGGAUAGGGGUUCUGAGAGGAAGGUCCCCCACAUUGGUACUGAGACACGGACCAAACUCCUACGGGAGGCAGCAGUGAGGAAUAUUGGUCAAUGGGCGAGAGCCUGAACCAGCCAAGUCGCGUGAAGGAUGAAGGAUCUAUGGUUUGUAAACUUCUUUUAUACGGGAAUAAAGUGUGGUACGUGUACCAUUUUGUAUGUACCGUAUGAAUAAGCAUCGGCUAACUCCGUG